Molecule: ribosomal RNA, 461 nt
Filed under: uncultured bacterium
Lineage: Bacteria
Description: bacterial SSU rRNA
Rfam family: Bacterial small subunit ribosomal RNA
Source: RNAcentral
UACGGGAGGCAGCAGUGGGGAAUAUUGGACAAUGGGCGGAAGCCUGAUCCAGCCAUGCCGCGUGUGUGAAGAAGGCCUUUUGGUUGUAAAGCACUUUAAGCGAGGAGGAGGCUCUCCUAGUUAAUACCUAGGAAGAGUGGACGUUACUCGCAGAAUAAGCACCGGCUAACUCUGUGCCAGCAGCCGCGGUAAUACAGAGGGUGCGAGCGUUAAUCGGAUUUACUGGGCGUAAAGCGUGCGUAGGCGGCUGAUUAAGUCGGAUGUGAAAUCCCUGAGCUUAACUUAGGAAUUGCAUUCGAUACUGGUCAGCUAGAGUAUGGGAGAGGAUGGUAGAAUUCCAGGUGUAGCGGUGAAAUGCGUAGAGAUCUGGAGGAAUACCGGAUGGCGAAGGCAGCCAUCUGGGCCUAAUACUGACGCUGAGUCGAAAGCAUGGGGAGCAAACAGGGAUUAGAAUAACCCGU